UUGGGGCUUAACCCUGAGCGUGCUUUCGAUACGGGUUGACUUGAGGAAGGUAGGGGAGAAUGGAAUUCCUGGUGGAGCGGUGGAAUGCGCAGAUAUCAGGAGGAACACCAGUGGCGAAGGCGGUUCUCUGGGCCUUUCCUGACGCUGAGGAGCGAAAGCGUGGGGAGCGAACAGGCUUAGAUACCCUGGUAGUCCACGCUGUAAACGGUGGGUACUAGGUGUGGGGUCCAUUCCACGGGUUCCGUGCCGUAGCUAACGCUUUAAGUACCCCGCCUGGGGAGUACGGCCGCAAGGCUAAAACUCAAAGGAAUUGACGGGGCCCCGCACAAGCGGCGGAGCAUGCGGAUUAAUUCGAUGCAACGCGUAGAACCUUACCUGGGUUUGACAUGGAUCGGGAGUGCUCAGAGAUGGGUGUGCCUCUUUUGGGGUCGGUUCACAGGUGGUGCAUGGCUGUCGUCAGCUCGUGUCGUGAGAUGUUGGGUUAAGUCCCGCAACGAGCGCAACCCUUGUUCACUGUUGCCAGCACGUUAUGGUGGGGACCCAGUGGAGACCGCCGGGGUCAACUCGGAGGAAGGUGGGGAUGACGUCAAGUCAUCAUGCCCCUUAUGUCCAGGGCUUCACGCAUGCUACAAUGGCUGGUACAGAGAGUGGCGAGCCUGUGAGGGUGAGCGAAUCUCGGAAAGCCGGUCUCAGUUCGGAUUGGGGUCUGCAACUCGACCUCAUGAAGUCGGAGUCGCUAGUAAUCGCAGAUCAGCAACGCUGCGGUGAAUACGUUCCCGGGGCUUGCACACACCGCCCGU
RNAcentral lists this ribosomal RNA (800 nucleotides) under uncultured bacterium. Its description in RNAcentral is "bacterial SSU rRNA". It matches the Rfam family "Bacterial small subunit ribosomal RNA", at positions 602 to 1397 of the family's 1533-position model. The record is from RNAcentral.